RNAcentral lists this long non-coding RNA (9043 nucleotides) under Volvox carteri. Its description in RNAcentral is "long non-coding RNA (VCAR_LNC000358)". Lineage: Eukaryota; Viridiplantae; Chlorophyta; Chlorophyceae; Chlamydomonadales; Volvocaceae. The record is from RNAcentral.
UCCAACCAGCCCCAGCCACACUUCCUAGCAUGUAGUGUUAUCAUCAUGACAUGGCUAAAGAAUCCACAACGAAACACACAUCCGUGGCACAGAUGUGGCCCACCACUACCUGCCUACAUCAAACAAAUCUGCCGUACUCCGAUAGCCAUAUCGGAGUACGACAGCGUCUUGAUGCCCCACGUAAAACACAUAAGAGCCCCGACCCUAGCCCCCAUCUUACCUCCAUUCCCGGCUGGACGUCGGCCCCAUCUUCCGAGGCCUGCUGCACGUGCAGCACAUGGAUGGGAACAUGACAAUUAGGGCAGGCACGUCAAUGGCGGAGGCAAAACAUACACGCCCCCCUCCCCCAACCAGCCCCAGCCACCCUCCAUAGCAUCAGGAACAAGAAAGAGGGCAACGGGUAACGAAUCCACAACGAAACACACAAACGUGGCACAGAUGUGGCCCACCACUACCUGCCUACAUCAAACAAAUCUGCCGUACUCCGAUAGCCAUAUCGGAGUACGACAGCGUCUUGAUGCCCCACAUAAAACACAUAAGAGCCCCGACCCUCGCCCCCAUCUUACCUCCAUUCCCGGCUGGACGUUGGCCCCUCUUCCGAGGCCUGCUGCACGUGCAGCACAUGGAUGGGAACAUGACAAUUAGCAUCAGGAACAAGAAAGAGGGCAACGGGUAACGAUUCCACAACGAAACACACAAACGUGGCACAGAUGUGGCCCACCACUACCUGCCUACAUCAAACAAAUCUGCCGUACUCCGAUAGCCAUAUCGGAGUACGACAGCGUCUUGAUGCCCCACGUAAACCACAUAAGAGCCCCGACCCUCGCCCCCAUCUUACCUCCAUUCCCGGCUGGACGUCGGCCCCAUCUUCCGAGGCCUGCUGCACGUGCAGCACAUGGAUGGGAACAUGACAAUUANNNNNNNNNNNNNNNNNNNNNNNNNNNNNNNNNNNNNNNNNNNNNNNNNNNNNNNNNNNNNNNNNNNNNNNNNNNNNNNNNNNNNNNNNNNNNNNNNNNNNNNNNNNNNNNNNNNNNNNNNNNNNNNNNNNNNNNNNNNNNNNNNNNNNNNNNNNNNNNNNNNNNNNNNNNNNUCGGGGGCCUGGGAGCUUGGGAGCCUGGGAGCCUGGGAUCCUGGGGGCUUGGGGGCCUGGGACCUUGGGAGCCUGGGAGCUUGAGAGCUUGGGAGCCUGGGGGCCUGGGAGCCGGGGGCCUGGGAGCCUGGGAGCCUGGGAGCUUGGGAGCCUGGGGGCCUGGGAGCCUGGGAGCCUGGGAGCCUGGGAGCCUGGAAGCCUGGGAGCCUGGGAGCUUGGGAGCCUGGGGGCCUGGGAGCCUGGGGGCCUGGGAGCCUGAGGGGCCUGGGAGCCGGGGGCCUGGAAGCCUGUAGGCCUGGGGGCCUGGGGGUUUGGGGGUGACACAACCAUGAAAUGGUGGUAUCGAAAGAUACCGGUUGAGGCAAGUGAAUUGAAUAAUAAUCAUUAUAGAAUCCACUUGGGCCUCAUGCCAAUAAGUUCCAGUACGGCUGGGUGGUGUGAUGUUGACCAUAGUUCGCAGGAACUACUCUCGCCUCAUGAAGCAGACAUCCAGGAAGGCAGGUUCCAGCUUUAGACAGGUAAAGCCCCUGCCCAGACGCCAGUAUGGACUUCUGCAGCAGUGCGGCAGUAGGGUGGACAGACCGGCAUCUGACAGUUAGACAACAGAGCCUAGAGCUUAACAGUAAGCUUAACAGGAUACAACACCUGGAGCCCCAACCCUCCCUUCCAUCUCACCUCCCUGAGUGAAACCCAUUCCCCCUCCCUGUCACCACCCUCCUAAAUGAAAACUUCGGCUGCAGCCCCACUAUCGGAGGUUGGCUGCACUUGCUGCACAUGUAUGAGAGCAUGAGAAUUAAAGCAGGCACUGCAAAGACAGUGCUGACACAUACACACCCAACUCCUCCAACCAGCCCCAGCCACACUUCCUAGCAUGUAGUGUUAUCAUCAUGACAUGGGUAACGAUUCCACAACGAAACACACAAACGUGGCACAGAUGUGGCCCACCACUACCUGCCUACAUCAAACAAAUCUGCCGUACUCCGAUAGCCAUAUCGGAGUACGACAGCGUCUUGAUGCCCCACGUAAAACACAUAAGAGCCCCGACCCUCGCCCCCAUCUUACCUCCAUUCCCGGCUGGACGUCGGCCCCAUCUUCCGAGGCCUGCUGCACGUGCAGCACAUGGAUGGGAACAUGACAAUUAGGGCAGGCACGUCAAUGGCGGAGGCAAAACAUACACGCCCCCCUCCCCCAACCAGCCCCAGCCACCCUCCAUAGCAUCAGGAACAAGAAAGAGGGCAACGGGUAACGAAUCCACAACGAAACACACAAACGUGGCACAGAUGUGGCCCACCACUACCUGCCUACAUCAAACAAAUCUGCCGUACUCCGAUAGCCAUAUCGGAGUACGACAGCGUCUUGAUGCCCCACAUAAAACACAUAAGAGCCCCGACCCUCGCCCCCAUCUUACCUCCAUUCCCGGCUGGACGUUGGCCCCUCUUCCGAGGCCUGCUGCACGUGCAGCACAUGGAUGGGAACAUGACAAUUAGCAUCAGGAACAAGAAAGAGGGCAACGGGUAACGAUUCCACAACGAAACACACAAACGUGGCACAGAUGUGGCCCACCACUACCUGCCUACAUCAAACAAAUCUGCCGUACUCCGAUAGCCAUAUCGGAGUACGACAGCGUCUUGAUGCCCCACAUAAAACACAUAAGAGCCCCGACCCUCGCCCCCAUCUUACCUCCAUUCCCGGCUGGACGUCGGCCCCUCUUCCGAGGCCUGCUGCACGUGCAGCACAUGGAUGGGAACAUGACAAUUAGCAUCAGGAACAAGAAAGAGGGCAACGGGUAACGAUUCCACAACGAAACACACAAACGUGGCACAGAUGUGGCCCACCACUACCUGCCUACAUCAAACAAAUCUGCCGUACUCCGAUAGCCAUAUCGGAGUACGACAGCGUCUUGAUGCCCGACAUAAAACACAUAAGAGCCCCGACCCUCGCCCCCAUCUUACCUCCAUUCCCGGCUGGACGUUGGCCCCUCUUCCGAGGCCUGCUGCACGUGCAGCACAUGGAUGGGAACAUGACAAUUAGCAUCAGGAACAAGAAAGAGGGCAACGGGUAACGAUUCCACAACGAAACACACAAACGUGGCACAGAUGUGGCCCACCACUACCUGCCUACAUCAAACAAAUCUGCCGUACUCCGAUAGCCAUAUCGGAGUACGACAGCGUCUUGAUGCCCCACGUAAAACACAUAAGAGCCCCGACCCUCGCCCCCAUCUUACCUCCAUUCCCGGCUGGACGUCGGCCCCAUCUUCCGAGGCCUGCUGCACGUGCAGCACAUGGAUGGGAACAUGACAAUUAGCAUCAGGAACAAGAAAGAGGGCAACGGGUAACGAUUCCACAACGAAACACACAAACGUGGCACAGAUGUGGCCCACCACUACCUGCCUACAUCAAACAAAUCUGCCGUACUCCGAUAGCCAUAUCGGAGUACGACAGCGUCUUGAUGCCCCACGUAAAACACAUAAGAGCCCGACCCUCGCCCCCAUCUUACCUCCAUUCCCGGCUGGACGUCGGCCCCAUCUUCCGAGGCCUGCUGCACGUGCAGCACAUGGAUGGGAACAUGACAAUUAGCAUCAGGAACAAGAAAGAGGGCAACGGGUAACGAUUCCACAACGAAACACACAAACGUGGCACAGAUGUGGCCCACCACUACCUGCCUACAUGAAACAAAUCUGCCGUACUCCGAUAGCCAUAUCGGAGUACGACAGCGUCUUGAUGCCCCACGUAAAACACAUAAGAGCCCGACCCUCGCCCCCAUCUUACCUCCAUUCCCGGCUGGACGUCGGCCCCAUCUUCCGAGGCCUGCUGCACGUGCAGCACAUGGAUGGGAACAUGACAAUUAGCAUCAGGAACAAGAAAGAGGGCAACGGGUAACGAAUCCACAACGAAACACACAAACGUGGCACAGAUGUGGCCCACCACUACCUGCCUACAUCAAACAAAUCUGCCGUACUCCGAUAGCCAUAUCGGAGUACGACAGCGUCUUGAUGCCCCACGUAAAACACAUAAGAGCCCCGACCCUCGCCCCCAUCUUACCUCCAUUCCCGGCUGGACGUUGGCCCCAUCUUCCGAGGCCUGCUGCACGUGCAGCACAUGGAUGGGAACAUGACAAUUAGCAUCAGGAACAAGAAAGAGGGCAACGGGUAACGAUUCCACAACGAAACGCACAACCGUGGCACAGAUGUGGCCCACCACUACCUGCCUACAUUGGGACAUUGGACAUUGAAGCCAUAAUAGCCAAAGCCGUACAUGAGCGGUUAUGUCAGCCAAUUGCAUGGAAACCUCGUCGGUCGUAAUUUUGUUCAGUAAACCUGACAAGGUUUUAAAUGAUUUCGGCCGACUUUCGGAUAUUGUGGCAUGGACCCACUACAUUGGCGGACCUGGUCGACCAGGUCGAUCAACGUCGGCCUCGGGUAACCUUGCCUAUGUACUUAUUUGUUCAUCAACUAUAUUAUACUUUGUGCUGGAACAAUCGGCGUUCCUUUGGGCCAUGACCAUGACUACCAAUGGUCAUGUUACAUCGGAGCACCAAAACAAGUGGCAAACACCCUAAGUAACCUAAAUUUCACUUAUGAUAAGUUCACCGGCUAUAUUCAUGCUUCCCAAUGUGCUUUCGGGGCUGCACGUCAAAAGUAACCUCGUCCAGACAACCGUCCCGUAGCUGCUGAGCCUUGGGCGCUACACGUCUCUGGACUGCCAAAUGGCCGUAGGUAGGGAGCAAAUCGUAAGGACAAAUAAUGCCUCCCUACACUCAUAUUUGAUGGCAAACAUGUUAACUAACCUCGUCAUAACAUUUCACACACUCAGCGCGCAUAUCUGUGCCUAAUUAUGACACUUUCAAGGUUGCACAUUUAUCAAGCUUCUAGCUGGCGAGUAACCUGUCCAGACAACUGCCCCGUAGCUACCGAGCCUGACGAGUUACACGUCUCCGGACUGCCAUAGGGUUGCAUGGUACACAUGCAUACCCUUGUGCAAGGGUACACAUUUAGUGCUAAACAUACCAUACCAUGCAUUCCACCGAUACCGUGAUAGCGAUGAUAAGCAUGUAUCUCACCAGGCGAGAGCAAAUAAAACGUGCCUCUAUGGCGAUGGGGAGUCGAAGGCAACGUUGAGUUAACUCUGCAGUAGCUGGUACAUAGAUUGCACACAUCAUUUACAAAUACAGCUAAUGAUAUUCAGAGCCAUAUUUAACGUCCAGCUACUACAAUGGUAUGAAGACCUCAGGUGUAAGGCUCACACAUGGUUGCGAUCUGCAUGUUGCCAGCUGGCAGCUGCCAACUGCAGUUCUGUGCUCCUGUCUCCCUUAACCGUAUUCUCAUGGCUAUGUCGACUCGAACAUGCUGGCUGACAGUGCGAGGAAUGAUAGAGGCGGAAAACCGGGAGACAGGCUGCCAAGGGCCCUUACACUGCAGUAGAACACAACUCAAGCCAACCGAAUGGCCGCGCGAAAGCGGCCCCUACGGCCACCGCACCGGUGCCGCGCGGCCAACAACACACACACACACACCCAGGAAAAAACGCGCGCGCGACAGACAACACGAGACGCUAGGCCAAAGGACGCCCAACGACCACCACUACCAAACACGAAACGGCGACCCUAACGUGCUAAAGCCCGACCAAGGAGACCGACUGAAACCAAAGCGAAGAGCGCCCUCUCCACGGACUCCCAAGACCACUCAACAAGGCUAAAACGACCCAACUGCAGCCAGAACGGCCUCAAGUCUCUGCUGUCGACCCGCCUGCUGACAAGCCACUCCUCAGCGGGCGUCGUCUACCUGUCCGCCGCUAGCCGAGCCCGGUGCGGAGGUGCCUGAAACUGGUCAGUGAAGAAGGAAAAAAAGAGGGGAGGGGUGAACGAAGAGAUAUCGACCCCGAAGCGAAGGGGGGAAGGUGGGCGGGAAGCUGUCAGCUAUAAGCUGAAGCUCUACUGAGUGAAAGGCAGAAUGCCUGAAACGAAAGAGCUGAAGCAAUUAAUACUCGCCAUUCCAAUACGGUUGUACGACAGUCGCACAGAACCAGACUUAGAGACUCCGAUCGCUUCGCUCCGUCGUAUCUAAGUCAACAAUUUGACCCAGACAAAGCAAACACCAUUACUUAGCGGAUUGGUAAAUACUAGGUCACCCAUGACGACCAUUUUUACGAUUAUCGUGACAAUAUGUAUACAUUUCCCAGCUACAUAGCUGAGAAGACUUUGUGCCUGAAAACCUUAAGACAGCUAGGCACAUGACGUGGCAUGGAUGGAUCAUUCCUUUUCCUGCACAUAGCACCAGAACAUGUAUACAGCUGUACAUGUGUGUAUGCAUGUCGACCACUGAUCUAUUGGUGCAUGAAUUAUGUUCACGUGAGCAUUUAAAUGCAUGGAAAUUUCCAUGCAUGGCCACUGUGAAGACCAUGCAUGACCAACGGGAGGGGUGGAUAAGUCUGCCGCCCAUUGGUGCACAUGCGGUGUAGAUACUCCAGGGGGCUGGGAGCUCCCAGCCCCCUAUGGUGUCUCGAGAGACCAUUUGCACUCCACAAAAACCCUAAGACAUCCCUUCUGAAUAUUGUAUCCAUGCCGCUUAUUGGCUGGUGCUGUCUGUGCUGACUUCAUGACAUGUGCCAAUUUGCUUUUCUGCAUUUGGUUUUCUGCUGACGCAGCAGCAACUGACUCACAAUUGGAGGCCACAAGCACUAUGGCGGCCAAAGGCGGCCACCAGCCCACCACUACCAAGGUGGCGCUCAUUACCACGCUAUCGGGUAUUGCAGGAGUCGCUGUCCUGGUUGCAGUGAUCAUCGUCAGCGUAAAAUUGGCCAGAGCUAGGCGCAAGAUGAGGACAGCACCUGUGAUCAACAUACCAUCACCUGCCCAUCAUGCAGCAGCUCCUGCAUGGACAUAGGCUCUCUCAUACUCACCUAUGUGCUCGGACAAUCAUAACAAAUCACACAUAAGUGCAUACAUCCACUGCAUGCAUCACACACAGGUUUUGGGUAAACAUAAAUGUUUGUGGCGCCAGCAGCGGUAGUAGUAUGUCAUCAUUGCAAAUGUGUACAGUAUGCUCCAUGUAGAUGCAUGCAUAUACAUACACUCUGGGAAAGGUUUUCACCCGUAAAUUCAUGUUUACCCGUAAUCACGUGGUCUUCACAUGUAAUUACCGGCCAAGAAAAUUUGUACACAUGCUUAUUUUUAAGUUGCCAAAGCAUUCCUUUUAUAAGGAAUAACACAGGUGACAUUUUGUUGGUUGCCCGUGCUGGAAGUCAUCCACAGGUUACAUUACCCGUAAUCACAAGGUCUUGACCCGUAAUCCCCCAAGCCGUAAUGCACAGCACCCGUAAAAUUUCACGGGCUUAAUUGCGACGAAGACGUGUUAUGUGUGUGUGUGUGUGUUACAUGGUUGGGGGUGCGUGACCCCAUACCUGUAAGAUUACCCAUACGAGCCGAGGGCCCAAGGGUAAUACUACAACGCCUAAAAGCCACGGAGGAAAGGAAAACACCGCACAUCAGCCCAGACUAGCGUCUAAAGGGGGUAAUUGAGUUUCGGUGAGCCCACAUACGUUCCAAUUUCCUCGCCAGACGUGCGGGUUCCCAUUGCAUGGCCUCCAACAUGCUCUGUUGAUGAUCGAAUCCUUCUUCAGCACGAAUAUCAUUAUAGGCUGGCAUNNNNNNNNNNNNNNNNNNNNNNNNNNNNNNNNNNNNNNNNNNNNNNNNNNNNNNNNNNNNNNNNNNNNNNNNNNNNNNNNNNNNNNNNNNNNNNNNNNNNNNNNNNNNNNNNNNNNNNNNNNNNNNNNNNNNNNNNNNNNNNNGAAACACACAAACGUGGCACAGAUGUGGCCCACCACUACCUGCCUACAUCAAACAAAUCUGCCGUACUCCGAUAGCCAUAUCGGAGUACGACAGCGUCUUGAUGCCCCACGUAAAACACAUAAGAGCCCCGACCCUCGCCCCCAUCUUACCUCCAUUCCCGGCUGGACGUUGGCCCCAUCUUCCGAGGCCUGCUGCACGUGCAGCACAUGGAUGGGAACAUGACAAUUAGCAUCAGGAACAAGAAAGAGGGCAACGGGUAACGAUUCCACAACGAAACGCACAACCGUGGCACAGAUGUGGCCCACCACUACCUGCCUACAUUGGGACAUUGGACAUUGAAGCCAUAAUAGCCAAAGCCGUACAUGAGCGGUUAUGUCAGCCAAUUGCAUGGAAACCUCGUCGGUCGUAAUUUUGUUCAGUAAACCUGACAAGGUUUUAAAUGAUUUCGGCCGACUUUCGGAUAUUGUGGCAUGGACCCACUACAUUGGCGGACCUGGUCGACCAGGUCGAUCAACGUCGGCCUCGGGUAACCUUGCCUAUGUACUUAUUUGUUCAUCAACUAUAUUAUACUUUGUGCUGGAACAAUCGGCGUUCCUUUGGGCCAUGACCAUGACUACCAAUGGUCAUGUUACAUCGGAGCACCAAAACAAGUGGCAAACACCCUAAGUAACCUAAAUUUCACUUAUGAUAAGUUCACCGGCUAUAUUCAUGCUUCCCAAUGUGCUUUCGGGGCUGCACGUCAAAAGUAACCUCGUCCAGACAACCGUCCCGUAGCUGCUGAGCCUUGGGCGCUACACGUCUCUGGACUGCCAAAUGGCCGUAGGUAGGGAGCAAAUCGUAAGGACAAAUAAUGCCUCCCUACACUCAUAUUUGAUGGCAAACAUGUUAACUAACCUCGUCAUAACAUUUCACACACUCAGCGCGCAUAUCUGUGCCUAAUUAUGACACUUUCAAGGUUGCACAUUUAUCAAGCUUCUAGCUGGCGAGUAACCUGUCCAGACAACUGCCCCGUAGCUACCGAGCCUGACGAGUUACACGUCUCCGGACUGCCAUAGGGUUGCAUGGUACACAUGCAUACCCUUGUGCAAGGGUACACAUUUAGUGCUAAACAUACCAUACCAUGCAUUCCACCGAUACCGUGAUAGCGAUGAUAAGCAUGUAUCUCNN